GGCUGCACGGGUGAGUAACGCGUAAGUAAUCUACCCUGGCAUUUGGGAUAACUCAGCGAAAGCUGUGCUAAUACCGAAUACGCUGAUUUAUCAGGAAAGGUGGCCUCUGAUUUAAGCUACCGUGCCGGGAGGAGCUUGCGUACCAUUAGCUAGUUGGUAGGGUAAAGGCCUACCAAGGCGACGAUGGUUAGCGGGUCGGAGAGGAUGAUCCGCCACACUGGAACUGGAACACGGACCAGACUCCUACGGGAGGCAGCAGUGAGGAAUAUUGCGCAAUGGGGGCAACCCUGACGCAGCGACGCCGCGUGGAUGAUGAAGGCUUUCGAGUCGUAAAAUCCUGUCAGAUGGAAAGAAGUGCAUAUUUAUUAAUACUGAAUAUGUUUGACGGUACCAUCAAAGGAAGCACCGGCUAACUCCGUGCCAGCAGCCGCGGUAAUACGGAG
RNAcentral lists this ribosomal RNA (443 nucleotides) under uncultured bacterium. RNAcentral's name for it is "bacterial SSU rRNA". It matches the Rfam family "Bacterial small subunit ribosomal RNA", at positions 96 to 530 of the family's 1533-position model. The record is from RNAcentral.